This is a long non-coding RNA of Harpia harpyja (harpy eagle), 5073 nucleotides long. RefSeq lists it as uncharacterized. The record is from RefSeq and is a predicted model, not a curated record. Lineage: Eukaryota; Metazoa; Chordata; Aves; Accipitriformes; Accipitridae. The transcript is spliced from 2 exons.
CGUAAAGCGCCGCGCGGGAGGCGGCGGGCGCCACGCAUUUCGCCCCAGCGUCCUCUCGCCGGCUCUUGGCGGCGGCUGCCGCGCCGAGGCGAGGCGGUGUCGCCUCCGUCCCCCUGGAGAUCCUCCGUAGCAGUUCCCGUUUGUGCCGGCUCACGCCGGAGCCGUGAAAAGGGCGGGCCGCUGUAAGGAAAGGCCCCGUCCCCGCUCCCCACCCUCCUGUCUUUGCCUCCUGCCCGCCCCUCCGCUGGCCCUGCGACUCGGCCAGCGGGCCUGCCGCCAUCUUCUCGGGCGCAGCUUGCCAGUGCCCAGCAUAAAUGAGAUCCCGGCUUGAAAAUAAGAAAGAAGGAUGAUGCUCUUUGGACAGCAAAAAUGAGCAGUAAGAAUUCCAGGAGCAAGAAGCAUGUUUCACUGAAUAGUCAAAGGCUGGGUAAGAUCAUCAUGAAGUGCCUACAACCUUUUCUUCUUUCACACAGUGCAUCCACGUGCAUUCUCAUUUGUCUGUGGAAUAAAUUUGCUAUAGUAAUACCAGAAGCAGUGCUAGCAUACUUGCACUUAGGGCCAAUCCCUGAUGUGGCACUUUUCUGGCAGUGGCUUACAGCUGAAGGAGAGCUAUGGUGAAUUCAGUAGCGCUGAAUGCCAUACCACUGUUUCUUAGCAGACUUUGAAGAAAUUAAGAAUUGUGGUAAGUAUAACAGGAAGUUUAAAAUUGGCACGUCUCAUAUUUUACAUAAAGAUUCAUAGAAGUGUGACAAUAUGUCUGCUUAUCUGUCCUAGCCAGAACAAGAGUCCUGUAGUGUCUGUGGUAAAGAAAUCAAUGAAAUUAAGAGGAAAAAAAAAAAAGGCUGUUUUUUAUUAAUGCAUUUGUUAAUAGCACAUUUAUCUGACCAUUUUCACAUCUAAAAAAAUAUUUCAGCUCUGUGACACAAUAGAUCUGGACUUUGUAUCAAGGCAAUUGUAGUGAAGACUGCAACAAUGGAGUGCUGUCUACUGCCUUGGUCAGGAUUGCUCUGGUCACUUCAGUGAGCCUCCUUUGACAAGACAUCUGAAGGUGCAAAGCUGUAAGAAAAAUGGAGUGUAACCACAGUCAUAAUCUGACUGUUCCAAGGCAGCAGGAGAAUAACUACCACAGAAGUUAGGCAAAACUGCAUCAUUUCGUUUUCAUUUGUGAAUAGUACUGAAGGUACUUUCUCAGUUUAUGAAGACAGCUACAUGCACCUUGCCUAAGACUAUUUUUUAUAGCUUACAUUAUUUGUGGAGAAGCAGACAGUUCCGCUGUCCUUGUAAAUAGAUUGAUUGCCAUGCCUUUCAGCUGGUGAUCCUCUCUGGAGAGAGCACCACUCUUCCACAGCCUUUCAUUAUCUCCCUCUACACUUCCUACAGAAUAGAAAACAUUUUUUUAAUCUUUUUUGCCAUCACAAUGCAGACCUCUGACCUACAGCCAAAGCCAUUUGUGUCUUUGCUGCUCCAGCUGCAGUGCGCCAAAGACCUCUUCUCUAUAUUGCUUUCUAGGCACUGCAGGGAAGACGGUCAUUAAAUUAGUCAGCAACGCUGGCUAUACUUGGCUCUGACUAAGUAUAUCCAACCCUUUCAUAGUGAAAAAAAAAAAAAAAUUUUUUUUUUUUUUCCUUACCGUCAGCUGAUGUGUAGGCGUAACAGAAUUUUGCAGCCCUAAAGGAUCUCCAAAGAUCCAGAUCUAGAGACAGCCUGGAACUGGUUGCUCCUGAGUGGUGAGCAAUGGCAAGGUCAGCUACUCCUGCUGCCAUGCUGGAGUUGGAAAGGGUGGUGACAGCACAUCAUGUUUUUAUGAAUGACCAUCCAUUUCCUGGACUAUGCCAUAGCCAAGGAGGCAGCGGAGCCACAGUAUUUCACUGCUGCCCCCUGUCUACUUCCUAUUUUGUUUUUGCCUAUAGCUACCUGCAAGCUUCUUGCAUCAUGAUUUUUAACUUCCUGAGUGACCUAGAAUUCCGUGCAAUGUUUGUGAGAAGUCAGCUGAGUUGGAAAAGAUGAUGAGAUGCAAUUGUAAAGAAAUGGUGAAUUCUCAGUAGCAAUUACACCAUGUUACUGUGGGAUGGUUACACUGAGAACUACAAACUAAUUUGCAGUUAGGUUGUGUCAUUUCCUCUUUUAAGACUGUGUGAGAGAGGACUCGACUUCUGGUCAUUUUCCCAAGUAUAGAGACCUGGUAUAAGUGACAGAGUGAAAGAAAUUUAGCCACCUAUUCAGAAAAAUAGAGGGCAGGCUUCCUGUGAAUCUUGAUAUUGCUCACUUGCUGUUGUUUCUAGUUAAAUACAUGUGCUAAGAGUUUAAUCCACACAACUGAUGUGAAUUGUAUUUCCCUUUUUUCCAAAGUUGGCUCAAAACACUCAGCUGCAGAGUCAUUCAUUCUUAUUUCUCAGCUCACUAUUUUAAGGGCUGAUGGAAUGUGGCAAAGAACAAGAUUCUUAAUGUCCAUGUCCUGGUAUUAGUGUUCCUGGGAGAAUUUCUGAGACCCUCUGAAAUCCAGCAUUGUAGGAACGUUGUGAGUGAAGGCUGGCCUUUUUCACUUGUAUUGUAUUCCAUAUAAAGACCAUGAGUGCUCUUCGAUCUACAGGUUUGCCAGACCAAGGCUUGCAUUCCUAACAGAUCUUGGGAAGGCACUAUUCACUUCAAAUUCUGUGGAAAUUCCACCUGAAUUCUAGCAAAACUGGAUCCGUGUUCCUGCUUUCAGGAUGCAUGUACCAAUUAUCUCAUAUAUUAACAAAAGAAAACUUGUUCUGUUGGGAUUUGGGGUGGUGGUGAUUUACUUUAAAGAAAGUACCAUGUUCAGUUCUGUGCUAUUUCCUGAACUCAAGUGUGUUUCAUAUUGUGUUGUACCAUCCUCUUUUAUUACUGCUUAUAUGAAUUAAUGUACAUUUGAGGAUCUCUCAUGUUAACUGUGGCACCUCAGCAUAGAACACCACCCAUAAAACUGAAAACAAGUUUCUGCUUCCCAUUCCACCACUGAAGAAGUGUUACUUAGUGAAGAAGUGUUAGACUAAAGAUUGCUUGGGAUUUCUUCUUAGAUACUAAAAAAUGUUCAUUGUAGACCAAAUUCAAAUGAAAGGGCAGUGAUUUGAAGUGAAAACUGAACACUGGCUGUUGCUCAGAGGCCAUUAAACAUAAGGUUUAUUAUCGUAAGUUACAGUGCUAUUGAGCAAUGCUUUGUUCACAGUAGUUUUGAAUCGCAAUCCACCGGAUAUCUGACUUCUGACUGACCAGUUAGCUAAGGGAUAUCUAAAGUCUCCUGUAAAACAGGCUGAAGUCUCAGUUCAGUGUUGCAAGAUGACAUACCUGACAACUGGCCAACCUAGGGAGGGGCAGCAGCUUUGAGAAAGACAUUUUUAUACUUGCCACUCCUUUAUCUUUGGUUUUCUUCACUUUACAUUGGUUUCUUUUUCUUCUGUAAAUACGUGCAUCUGAAUAUCACUAAAAUCUAAAAUCAGCGUGGGUCCAACCUGGUGAGAGGAACCUGAACAGUUAAUGUUAGGUAUUUGAUACCCUCUUGUGUGCUUCUAGCAAGAAAUUUGUUUUUCUGCCUGCAGUCUCCUAUUGAACUGCUGUCUUCUAUUCUGCUGACUUGAGCUGCAUCUUGACAGUGUAUCUUCCCCCAGUUUUAGUUCUCAACUUCAGUCGCUGCAGAGUUGUAAAUAUGUGUGUUAUCUAAUCAAGAAGAGUGAAAACCUACAUACCACAUGCCAAGGCUUAAAGAAGAAUAAAAUGCAUACUGUCUGGAGAUUUGUUUUCCAACCUUUAACUGCCUUUUUUUUUUUUUUGCAUCUUGAGAGAAAAGCACAACUCCUAGAAACUUAGCUAAGCAAAUUAACACCAGUUCUAUUGCGUUUCACUGCACUUAGAUCCAGCUGCAUCAAGAUUGCUUUUGGAUGUCACAGUUGUCGUAAGUAUUACAGUGAAUGCUACCACAAAGAUUUCUGUGGGUCUAGUGCACACAGUAUGCAGUAAAUCACUACUUCUCUUAGCAACCACUAUAGUGAUACUAACCGGAUUGAAUUCCUAUACUAUUCCUAAGGACAGACUAUUCUAAUCAUCAGUUCAGGUGGGAGAACUGAUACAGACAUUCAAAAUGAAAGUAAUCAGUACUGAAAAUGCAAUUUAUUGUGAAUCACUGUGUAUGUGUGACUGCUUACAAAAGUUUAAAUGCAUAUCUCUGGGAUGAAGGUAGAAGAAAUUAACCAUAUGCAAUUCUUGAAAAAUAAGCUGUUAAAAGCAUUUCUUACUGCUGUAAUUUCUUGAAGAUGAACCUUCUAAAUGACCAUGGAUCCAACAAAGUAUGAAGACUUAUAGCUAUUUAAUAUGAUACUCAGUGUCUUCCCUGUUGUGCUUUUUGAGUCUAUGGGAUGCAAGACAAUAUGGCAUUUUUCAACAGGAUUAAUAUAGCCUCUUUAUAAAUGAGGAAAUGCUGUAUUUCAUAAUGUGGUCAAAUCUGUUAAAAGAGUCUUAUAUCGUAAAACUACAUCAUCACUGUUUGCUCCAGUGUCCUCACAGUUCUGCUUUAGUUUCCCUACAUUCUCUAGCAUUUAUUAAUGUUGCCUUUAUACAAUACCGAAACAAAACACCAGCAUUUGUAUCAAUAAAAUGUUUUCAUUGACAUGUUGUUUCAAAAAUACUUUACAAAUAUAUUCUCAUCUUUAUACCCAAAAAGUCCUGUAAGGUGAAAACAGUACAUUGUAGUCCUUGAAGGUAGGCUCCUGUAUACUUCAAAAUCACUAACGCUUCAAAGCAGGAAAGAAUGAAAUGUUAAAUGUUCAUGAAACGAAGACAGUCACAGGACCUUAUUUCAAACUGCAAAUGGUACAGUAUCUGAUACCUAUCUUCUCUUCUGUUUUAGCAUACAAUCUGGAAUAAAGUGAAUUCCUGAAGUAGAGAUAAAUACAAAUACCAGUCCUGGAUCAUCCAAAUCACUUCAAAGUAGCAAGCACUGUGAAACAUUCUUUGUACUCGUUAGUGUGUGAAGAAACAAUCUUUUCUAUACAUAUUGAAGGUACAGUUAUUAGAUAUGUAUACCUUUUGCUCUGGAAUUAAAGAUACACAACCUAA